GCGGACGUAGCCGAAUUGGCAUAGGCGCCAGGUUUAGGUCCUGGUGGGCGAAAGCCCACUGUGGGUUCGAGUCCCACCGUCCGCACCA
RNAcentral lists this transfer RNA (88 nucleotides) under Acidimicrobiia bacterium. RNAcentral describes it as "tRNA-Leu". It matches the Rfam family "tRNA". From Rfam's summary of the family: Transfer RNA (tRNA) molecules are approximately 80 nucleotides in length. Lineage: Bacteria; Bacillati; Actinomycetota; Acidimicrobiia. The record is from RNAcentral.